Molecule: long non-coding RNA, 1434 nt
Organism: Seriola aureovittata
Lineage: Eukaryota; Metazoa; Chordata; Actinopteri; Carangiformes; Carangidae
Exons: 3
Source: RefSeq, a predicted model, not a curated record
GCAUCAUAGGUGCGCCCCGGUACGUAAACAAACAGCGCCACGCCUCCCUGCACGUGAGAGACAAGCACGUUACAGACGCAGGCUGCAUUUCAGACUUAAAAACUAAGAAGGCAGUGACGAACGACGAGUACAAGCUUAUAUAUCAGUUACUUUAUCCACUGUGUGUUAUAUUAAUUUCACGUCACCUAUAUAUGAUCUGGUUUGUCUCAACCAACCGCUGCUGCUUCAUCCAAGGGAAAGUCAACCAAACUGCCCCCCUCCCCCUCCCUUCUUCUCACAGGAAAUCAAUAACAGGCAGAGGAGCACCUGUCAACCCUAUGCUGCCACUAUCACCCUGUAAACAAAAGGCAAGUAUUAACUUCGACUGUUCCGCAGUAGACACACAUGCAUGACGGCCGGUCACACAGGUGACAAUGACGUGCGGUCAGAUAAUCAACCUGGUAGCAUCACAGGACACAGUUUAGUACAUGGUGGUUGGGGGAUUAAUGUGGAAACAAAGUACAAAUGUUAGAGAUGAAUUAAUGGAUUCGAUUAAUCAGACACUGGGAGACAACGUACAUAUGUUGAGACAAAGGACAGAAGAUAAAAAUUCACACAAAACAGAAAAGAGUUAAGUUAGCGUUAGUGUUAAGUAGCACACAAACAAACUCAUACAUACUGGCGUUGCAGCCAGAAUAUGCUAACAAAGGUCAAAAGCUUUGCCAACACCCACUAUGGUCUGGUCACACAUCCAACCAAAGACUCAAGGAACAAUAGCUUUCGAUUGUCUUCGCAGUUUUGCACUUCUUCUUCUGGUUUGUACACUGAUGUCAUAUUCUGUGCCAAGGAAUCCCUUGGAAUUCAAACGCUGGACUGAGUGAAAAGUAAUGGCUGUUAAAUUACACAGUACCACGAGGUCGUGCCCACCGCAAGACUUCCCUCUGCUUCAUAAACCACUUUACAAGUCACAGAAGGUUGCCCUUUAAUUAUUUUAGGAGCUUAUAUCAUUUUAACGCACGUCAUUUCUUUCAUCGCAGAGAUUAGGAGAAAGGCCCCCGCUCUGCUGUUCCCUAUAACGAAAAAGACAUCAUCUAUAACAACACUGCUACACGGAGAAUUGCCUUUUCUAGUCCGUUAAAGAUGCAAUUAGAAGCAAUCAAAGCAGGAUGAAUUCAGUUUCACCCCAUGCAACUCGAUGACCGACAUAGCCAUUUUUAACCACAGCCUGAAAGUGGGCCUACGUCAUGUGUUGGCACCAGGUUUAGAAAAGUUUACAACAAAUUGCAGCCUUCUCUAGGAGAAAGAGAGAAGGCAGAGGCUCAUGCAGAAAGUAAGAAACGGAAAAGCAACAGGGAUGCUCUGCAUUAACGUUUGCUUUAAUGCAGUUUUAUCAAACCAGCCAGGUUUCAAGAAGCAAUAACUACAAAAUGAAAAUAAAUGUAUCAUGAAAUGAGU